This 421-nucleotide ribosomal RNA is filed under the name Fusobacteriota bacterium. Its description in RNAcentral is "Fusobacteria bacterium partial 16S ribosomal RNA". It matches the Rfam family "Bacterial small subunit ribosomal RNA", at positions 355 to 776 of the family's 1533-position model. Lineage: Bacteria; Fusobacteriati; Fusobacteriota. The record is from RNAcentral.
UGGGGAAUAUUGCACAAUGGACGGAAGUUUGAUGCAGCGACGCCGCGUGGAGGGUGUAGGCCUUCGGGUUGUGAACUCCUUUUUCUCGCGAAAAAGGCACAGUUUUGGCUGUGUUGAUGGUAGUGGGGGAAGAAGCGCCGGCUAACUACGUGCCAGCAGCCGCGGUAAUACGUAGGGCGCGAGCGUUGUCCGGAUUUAUUGGGCGUAAAGAGCUCGUAGGUGGUUCGUCGCGUCUGUCGUGAAAGCCAGCAACUUAACUGUUGGUCUGCGGUGGGUACGGGCGGGCUUGAGUGCGGUAGGGGUGACUGGAAUUCCUGGUGUAGCGGUGGAAUGCGCAGAUAUCAGGAGGAACACCGAUGGCGAAGGCAGGUCACUGGGCCGUUACUGACACUGAGGAGCGAAAGCGUGGGGAGCGAACAGG